UCACUGGCAAAGUUAAACAAAAUCAACUAUAAAGGAAACCAAAUAAUCUUGCUUUGUUCUUGAUGGAUGACUUUUUCCUUGGCUCACUUAGCCUCAAUUUCUGAAAGUAAAACAUUUCUUAAUUUCGUAUUAAGUCAAUAGUACAUAUGGGGCAAUAGCUCUGUGUUAAAAACUCUUCACCUAGGAAACAGGCAUUCUUAGGUACUAUGACCUUGAUUGUUCUAUUCUUCUCUAGCAAUUUUCUGUGAUUUACCCCACCCCUUUUGUAAAUCAUCCUCUCUUCUUCCUACUACUAUCUCUUCCUAAAUCUCUUGACUCUGUAACUUUAUCAUUCUGCAGCUAUUAUUUUUCUCACCUGAAAUUGCUACUUCCCCUUUUUCUUACCGUACUUUACUUUUGGCCUCUCUUUCUACUUGGAUAGUUGGUUAAGCAACCCUGUUCCCCCAUGAUUUCACAGGCUGGUUCUGCCUAUUCAUUCAAACAAUUUGAGAUGCUGUCUGAGGUCAUGAAAGCUUGGCCCUGCUUGGAGAAACUUCCAUUCUUCUAUUCAUCUGGCCAAAUUCCUUUCUACAUGUGAAAUGCAGUAUGAAUUUUGCCUCCUGAUGAAAAGUAGAAAAAGGUACCCAUGGAUCCUGAAGUUUUGGCAUGCUAAAAACACCAGUUACUCACCUUCAGGCAAAUGAAGACCAACCCAUCAAGGACACAUUUCUAGAGAUUAUGGCUUUGUUUUGAAACCUUUUCAGUGAUAUCUCCUGAUGAUUUUAGAAGUUUUCU
Molecule: long non-coding RNA, 774 nt
Filed under: Homo sapiens (human)
Lineage: Eukaryota; Metazoa; Chordata; Mammalia; Primates; Hominidae
Description: HSALNT0075768
Source: RNAcentral